CCCUUAGAUGUUCUGGGCCGCACGCGUGCUACACUGGUGAAUACAGCGAGUCUCCAUUCCCUUGACCGAAAGGUCUGGGUAAUCUUAUGAAAGUUCAUCGUGACAGGGAUUGAUCAUUGCAAUUAUUGAUCAUGAACGAGGAAUUCCUAGUAAGCGCGAGUCAUCAGCUCGCGCUGAUUACGUCCCUGCCCUUUGUACACACCGCCCGUCGCUACUACAGAGUGCCCGUGUCCAAGAAACGGUUGGACCUGUGCGGCCUCUCCGGGCGACCGGAGGGCCGUUACGGGAAAGACCCUUUAUUUGACGCGGGUCGAUGAAGUAAAAGUCGUAACA
This 333-nucleotide ribosomal RNA is filed under the name uncultured eukaryote. RNAcentral describes it as "partial 18S ribosomal RNA". It matches the Rfam family "Eukaryotic small subunit ribosomal RNA", at positions 1470 to 1796 of the family's 1831-position model. The record is from RNAcentral.